This is a long non-coding RNA of Alosa sapidissima (American shad), 567 nucleotides long. RefSeq lists it as uncharacterized. The transcript is spliced from 2 exons. The record is from RefSeq and is a predicted model, not a curated record. Lineage: Eukaryota; Metazoa; Chordata; Actinopteri; Clupeiformes; Clupeidae.
CGCUAGACGCAGCGGGGAAAGUCACCAUUUUCACCGGAACAGCCUGCAACAGAUAUAGCCGGCCUUCUAAAAUCCAAGAAUGAGGAAUGCCUGAAACAAGGAACAACUCGGCAGUGUAUGUGAACGUGUUUACCUGUGUGUGUAUGAGUGUGCAUGUGAGGGUAUGCGUGUGAGUAUGUAUGUGUGUGGGAGUGUAUGAGUGGUGGGUGUGUAUGAGUGGUGGGUGUGUGUGUGUGUACAACUUGUGCUCUGAUUGUGCACCAGUUUGCUCAUGGUUAUGUGUUAGCCUGUACACUUUUUGUUUUGUUUUAGGUGGGUGAAUAUUUAUAUAUGUAUGGGUGUGUGCUGUAAUGUAUGUGUUUGUGUGUAAAUCCGUUGAGUUCAUAUCAGAUGAGGGCAACACCAUGCCAGUUUGAUCAUGGUUAUGCGUUUAAAUGUAUGUGACUACACCUGUAUGUAUGCUUAUAUUAGCCUGUAUGCUUUUUGUUUCGUUUUGGUGGGUGAAUAUGUGUAUUGGUGGGUUGUUUUGUUGCUGGUUGUCUUUAAACAGUAAACUUGUUUAAAAUA